CAGUAUUGACAUCAAGACUUUUGAGGAAACACAUUUUUUUAAACAUAGUAGAUCAGAAGACUAGACAAGUUGUUUACCGUGAAACUAAAUAUGAGCAAACCUGUACCUAUCUGUCUUCCCUGACCUUUCUGACAUCUACAGAAAUGCAUUCUGAAUUUUAUUCUGUAAGACUGGAAAUGAAAUGUUGCGUUUGAUCAUAUGAAUCAGGCAGUAAGUCAAGCAAAAGAUAAAAUAAGCACACAAGGUCUGCUGCCCACUGUGAGUGAGCUGGGGAAAUCUAAAAGCGGGAGCCUGGUUUUAUACACAAUGCAAACACACAUGCAUGCACAAAACACAGAAAGGCCACAAACAACAAAGAUAGUGAAGUUGUAAGUAAAAUGAAAAUGAUACCUGAUCGUGAUUCUCUUUUCCCCAGAACACGCAAACAGAACUAUAAUCAAAGUACUUCUACAUGCAAUGAACUGUAUGAAGAGAUUUAUCAGCACUGCAACAAAAGGUUUUUCCGUACUGGGAUUUUGAGACUUCAUUAACACAGCAAGUGUAUUCCAGCCCUUGUUUUAAGAUUUGCUAAUCUUCGAGAUUCAUACUGGCCAAGAAAUAACAGCAGAGCUUAUGCAAGCCACUCAGCAAGGAAACUGCAAUGGUCUAUACCUUGGGGCUUUAUUUUACUGUGGAACUGCCAAGCUAUGGCAAGGCUUGAUUACCCCAUAAUUAUACCAGGAAAUGAAUGCUUCCACAAGUCAGCCACAAUUCUUAAUGUUCAAUUGCAGUCCUUUAUGAAAUAAGCAUCAAUUAUGAUUCUAUGUUACAUUUUCCAAAGUGUGGGGAAAAAAAAAAAAAAAAAAAGACAUUUUAAAUGCUAAUUAAAAAAAAGAAAUUACCAGACCAGUUUUGCAUUUAGGAUUUCAAGACAGGAAAUUAGUAAUAUCAGGUAAGGCCCUGACACUGGGAAAUCAUUUAUUUCACUUUCAAAACCCUACUAUAAGAGGUAUUUCCAUUUGUUUUAUAUAGGCAAGUA
Long non-coding RNA from Empidonax traillii (willow flycatcher), 1018 nucleotides. RefSeq lists it as uncharacterized. The record is from RefSeq and is a predicted model, not a curated record. The transcript is spliced from 4 exons. Lineage: Eukaryota; Metazoa; Chordata; Aves; Passeriformes; Tyrannidae.